This 107-nucleotide transfer RNA is filed under the name Aspergillus transmontanensis. RNAcentral describes it as "tRNA-Val". The record is from RNAcentral. Lineage: Eukaryota; Fungi; Ascomycota; Eurotiomycetes; Eurotiales; Aspergillaceae.
AGUCGCGUGUUCUAAUGGUUAUGAUUUGUCGUUCACAACAUGUGAGCUUGUAGCUACAGCUUCCUGUAGUACCGACAAGGUUCCCGGUUCGAUCCCGGGCGCGACUA